This 1372-nucleotide ribosomal RNA is filed under the name uncultured bacterium. RNAcentral describes it as "bacterial SSU rRNA". It matches the Rfam family "Bacterial small subunit ribosomal RNA", at positions 28 to 1381 of the family's 1533-position model. The record is from RNAcentral.
GAUGAACGCUGGCGGCGUGCCUAAUACAUGCAAGUCGAGCGAACGGACGAGAAGCUUGCUUCUCUGAUGUUAGCGGCGGACGGGUGAGUAACACGUGGAUAACCUACCUAUAAGACUGGGAUAACUUCGGGAAACCGGAGCUAAUACCGGAUAAUAUUUUGAACCGCAUGGUUCAAAAGUGAAAGACGGUCUUGCUGUCACUUAUAGAUGGAUCCGCGCUGCAUUAGCUAGUUGGUAAGGUAACGGCUUACCAAGGCAACGAUGCAUAGCCGACCUGAGAGGGUGAUCGGCCACACUGGAACUGAGACACGGUCCAGACUCCUACGGGAGGCAGCAGUAGGGAAUCUUCCGCAAUGGGCGAAAGCCUGACGGAGCAACGCCGCGUGAGUGAUGAAGGUCUUCGGAUCGUAAAACUCUGUUAUUAGGGAAGAACAUAUGUGUAAGUAACUGUGCACAUCUUGACGGUACCUAAUCAGAAAGCCACGGCUAACUACGUGCCAGCAGCCGCGGUAAUACGUAGGUGGCAAGCGUUAUCCGGAAUUAUUGGGCGUAAAGCGCGCGUAGGCGGUUUUUUAAGUCUGAUGUGAAAGCCCACGGCUCAACCGUGGAGGGUCAUUGGAAACUGGAAAACUUGAGUGCAGAAGAGGAAAGUGGAAUUCCAUGUGUAGCGGUGAAAUGCGCAGAGAUAUGGAGGAACACCAGUGGCGAAGGCGACUUUCUGGUCUGUAACUGACGCUGAUGUGCGAAAGCGUGGGGAUCAAACAGGAUUAGAUACCCUGGUAGUCCACGCCGUAAACGAUGAGUGCUAAGUGUUAGGGGGUUUCCGCCCCUUAGUGCUGCAGCUAACGCAUUAAGCACUCCGCCUGGGGAGUACGACCGCAAGGUUGAAACUCAAAGGAAUUGACGGGGACCCGCACAAGCGGUGGAGCAUGUGGUUUAAUUCGAAGCAACGCGAAGAACCUUACCAAAUCUUGACAUCCUUUGACAACUCUAGAGAUAGAGCUUUCCCCUUCGGGGGACAAAGUGACAGGUGGUGCAUGGUUGUCGUCAGCUCGUGUCGUGAGAUGUUGGGUUAAGUCCCGCAACGAGCGCAACCCUUAAGCUUAGUUGCCAUCAUUAAGUUGGGCACUCUAAGUUGACUGCCGGUGACAAACCGGAGGAAGGUGGGGAUGACGUCAAAUCAUCAUGCCCCUUAUGAUUUGGGCUACAUACGUGCUACAAUGGACAAUACAAAGGGCAGCGAAACCGCGAGGUCAAGCAAAUCCCAUAAAGUUGUUCUCAGUUCGGAUUGUAGUCUGCAACUCGACUACAUGAAGCUGGAAUCGCUAGUAAUCGUAGAUCAGCAUGCUACGGUGAAUACGUUCCCGGGUCU